CUUGUGAAAGAAGGCUCUUGAUUUCCCUUGAUGGGAUUGUUUUUUACUCCUUUAUAAUACACACAGAGAAGAGUAUGUUUGGUAUUAGGUUAUCUAUCUCCUGGGAGAGCAGAUAUGAGAGCUCUGUCCUUCUAAAAACUUUCAUCCUAGUAAAUAUACAGGAUAUGCACUCUUUAGCAAGGGAAGAUCAAAAGUAGAAAGAGUAAGUGUUUUCAUACUAUUUCUGACUCAAGAAGGAAAAAUCCAAUCUAGAGGAGUCUUUGAUCUUUUCUCCUGUGAGAAGAAAGGAAAGAACGACAGAGGAUCUGCAGGGCAAAAGUGGGAGAGAUGGAGAAGCUGUGAGUGCAACAAGGAAACAGUUCUGGAAGCUGGGGGCUCCAGAUAGAGGCAGCGAGGGCCAGCUGAAUCUGACGCUGAGAAAAAAAAAAUCUACAGCCAGAAAAAGAAAAGAAAACAACAACAGCAAAAACCAUCCAGGUAUCUCUCAACUGCUGGUAGCUCCAGUUGCUUCCUGACUUGUUAAGGCUUUCUUUUGGUACUUGCUCUCUUGGAUACGACUCACCAUGUCUAACUUUUCUCCUUUACAAGGGCUCACCUAUUGGAGUACCCCCUCCCCUUGUUCUUCAUCUCACCUGAGCAUUUGCAAGGAUUCUCUUUCCAUUUAGGAUCACAUUCACCUUACCUGGAGAUUAGAAUAAUCUAUGCUGGUGGGCUAACUCCAGCUCCUAGUGUCUCCCACUUUUAGCUCCUAGAGUCUUCAGCUUUUCCAAAAGGGCAGAUGAAUAUGUAUCUCACAAAUUUAACUUGCACAUGAGCUGAAUGGGGGUAGUGUUUCAUUUAUUAGAAUUUUAUUUUGAAAUGAAUGUAGGCUUGCUGUUACCCACAGCGUCCUAUAAACUCAUCACUUAGCAGCCUUCUAAACGGUAUCUUAACACACUACCUGGGUGGCACACUAUCCCACCAGUAAAAUGACUUGCUAUAGUGCCGUCAGCAGAGUCAGGCACUUGUUAAUUUAAACCAUGUUUUCUGUUGUGGGACCACGUCACUGUUCAUAGUCAUCAACUAGUUCCUGAGAGAGUUGUUCAGGACCCAAUCUUUGAUGAAGCAUGGUAGUUUGGUAGGUGUAGAUAGAUUCUGGGAAAACACAGGAGUUCAAAUUUGCAAGAUAGAAAGUGUGUGUGAGCUUGACUGUUCCCAAUCAUAAUCAUUGCCUGUAGUGUGAGCUCCUGCUGACCUUGGGGCAAUCCUCCCGUUCAAUCACAGAACCCGAAUAAGCCUGGCACAGAACCUGCCUUUUGCAGAACCUUCAGCACUACUCAGUCCCUUUUCGACCCAAGCUUCUGGCUCUAGUUACAGCAUUCCUAGAUUAUAUCUGAUGCUCACACAGGAUGCAGCCUAUGGAGGGUGGGUUUUUCACAGUGUAAGGGGUUUCCUAAUGCUGUGUGAUGCAGUGAUAACAGGCACAGAGAAUGGUGAUGGAAUGUGAGUGCAGGCUAGUAAACACCUUAGGAAAUGGGCUUGUAAGAACAUUUGCUACUUGUAGUCAGUGAGGAGAUCUUUGGGAAUACUUCCAAAGAUGUAUCUCCCUGAAUUCAAAAAUCAAGGGGGCUUUAUUUGGGAAAUUUAUAUGCAUAUUCAUUUUGGAAAGUUUCUUAAUGACAAGUAGAAGGAGGGGCUUCUCAGAACGUGCUGCGUGAUAUUAAGCUCUUCACACACAGCUGGUGCCAAGAAUUUACUACCAUAGUGAGCAAAGUUUACUGUAGGUCAACAAAAUGGAAAGACAGGGUGUAGAGCUGUUCAUUGUGCUUUUGCUAGGGGCUCUUAUCUGAAGGACAUGAGAGAGGGAGGAGGAGGGAGAGGAAGCAUGGGGAGAGAGAUGUUAGUAGUCAUUUAUGGAAGUCCCUACAGUGUCCCUCACCAACAAGCAUGGGAAUUUUCUCCUUAAAGUUUAAAAAUAAAGGAUCUUGCUUAUUAUUAUUUGAAUGCAACUAUCAUUGGUUCAUUUCCACUGUUUCAUUAGUCAUUUGUAUUUAUUCUGGGGAGAGUUAUUGUCUACCCAUGCCUCUGCCUGUUUCAAAUAAAGCGUUGCCUUUAUUUUUUCUACUAACUUUUCUUGCUUUAUGAACGUUUAUUUAAGUGGAGUUUUCUUUAUAACACAUUCUUCCGCCUUUUACAGAUUUGGUUUUCUGUCACAGAUCAACUUCUCAAUUAUAUUAUGGCCUGGGAUUUAGUCAACACAUGUGUAAGGACCAAGGUCAGGUCUUCGAUGAAGAGUUCUUGGAGCCAGGGCUACAUAAGUAUUUUGUGCAGCCUGAGUAAGCACACACUUGUGUGUUUCAUGAGACCCAGUUUAACCAUGACGUCAGACUCAGCUGCCUAAAUUCAUUUGCAGAUUUACAACAAAAGCGUUCAGAAAUCAGAUUUAGGUAGCACACGUGUAUUGAGGAAGGUGGGACUAAGCUUUGGAAAACAGCAAGCGUGAGCAUGCAGACUGCAGAGUUUCCACGGCGCAGAGUAUAUUUUGUGGUGUCUGGUCAAAUUUCCAAGCCAAUGCAUUAAAACCACUCAUCUCCUCUU
Molecule: non-coding RNA, 2577 nt
Organism: Myodes glareolus (Bank vole)
Lineage: Eukaryota; Metazoa; Chordata; Mammalia; Rodentia; Cricetidae
Source: RefSeq, a predicted model, not a curated record